Molecule: long non-coding RNA, 1009 nt
Organism: Vicia villosa (hairy vetch)
Lineage: Eukaryota; Viridiplantae; Streptophyta; Magnoliopsida; Fabales; Fabaceae
Exons: 3
Source: RefSeq, a predicted model, not a curated record
AGCAGGUGCAAUAAAAAUAGUUGGUGUUUCAUUAUAAAAUUUAAUAUAACUAAUAUGUACUACUGUACUGACACACAAGAUAUGUAUCAGCUUUAUCAAGUUAUAACUAACUAUUUGAUUUACUUCUCAUGUUUCAGAAUUAUUAAUUGAUGUGAACUGUUAAUUUAAACUCGACAACUUGCGAUGAUUGAUUUCAGGGACAGAAGCUCUCUUUGCCGACUUAGCCAAUUUUCCAGUCUCGUCGGUACAAAUUGCAUUUACUCUUCUUGUGUUUCCUUGCCUUCUUUUAGCGUAUUCUGGACAGGCGGCUUAUCUGGUGCAUAACUUGCAUCAUUCACAAGAUGUUUUUUAUCGCUCUAUUCCAGAAAAAAUAUACUGGCCAGUAUUUGUUAUUGCAACACUAGCAGCAAUAGUUGCGAGCCAAGCCACAAUAACAGCAACCUUUUCAAUCAUUAAGCAAGCCCUUGCUCAUGGCUGUUUCCCACGAGUCAAAGUCGUACAUACAUCGAAAAAGUUCCUUGGCCAGAUAUAUAUCCCGGAUAUCAAUUGGAUCCUUAUGGUUCUUUGCAUUGCUGUUACCGCUGGCUUUAAAAAUCAAAGUCAGAUUGGUAACGCAUAUGGUGAGGCUUCAGCUGGAAGCACUUUUUGGUGAGAAAGAAAGACUGCGAAUGAAAAUGAAAAUCUGAUGAGAGAAAACCAAUGCCUUCACCAGCUAGUGGAGUAUCAGCAAGACAGGCCCUUAAUUGAUGUGUUUGCAAAUGGUUGAAAAUCAAAAGGUUGAGGAGCAAAAUCUAUCAGAUCAAAUGCAAAUGGUUGAAGAGGAUAAGGAGAUAGAAAUGUUGUCAAAACAAAAGCCAAAGAAGAAGAAAACUUAUAUAUGAAGAAAGUGUUAUGACUUAGUUAAAAUAUGAUUUUUAUGUGUAAGUUUUAUAGUACUUGAAAUAUUAUAACUGUACAUGAUUUUGUAUAUUUUUUGGUUAAUAUUAAAAAUAUUUUGACUUAGUUAAAA